RNAcentral lists this ribosomal RNA (253 nucleotides) under uncultured bacterium. RNAcentral describes it as "partial 16S ribosomal RNA". It matches the Rfam family "Bacterial small subunit ribosomal RNA", at positions 524 to 776 of the family's 1533-position model. The record is from RNAcentral.
UACGGAGGGUGCAAGCGUUAAUCGGAAUUACUGGGCGUAAAGCGUGCGUAGGUGGUUCGUUAAGUCCGUUGUGAAAGCCCCGAGCUCAACUUGGGAAUUGCAGUGGAUACUGGCGAGCUAGAGUGCGGUAGGGGAAGGUGGAAUUCCCGGUGUAGCGGUGAAAUGCGUAGAGAUCGGGAGGAACGCCAGUGGCGAAGGCGGCCUUCUGGACCAGCACUGACACUCAAGCACGAAAGCGUGGGGAGCAAACAGG